GCAGGCAUAGUUUAACUAAAAUAUUAGAUUGUGAUUCUAAAGAAAGACGUUAGACUCGUCUUGCCCGCC
Molecule: transfer RNA, 69 nt
Filed under: Bothus myriaster (Indo-Pacific oval flounder)
Lineage: Eukaryota; Metazoa; Chordata; Actinopteri; Pleuronectiformes; Bothidae
Description: tRNA-His
Rfam family: tRNA
About the family: Transfer RNA (tRNA) molecules are approximately 80 nucleotides in length.
Source: RNAcentral